RNAcentral lists this ribosomal RNA (169 nucleotides) under Leishmania tropica. Its description in RNAcentral is "5.8S ribosomal RNA". It matches the Rfam family "5.8S ribosomal RNA". From Rfam's summary of the family: 5.8S ribosomal RNA (5.8S rRNA) is a component of the large subunit of the eukaryotic ribosome. It is transcribed by RNA polymerase I as part of the 45S precursor that also contains 18S and 28S rRNA. The record is from RNAcentral. Lineage: Eukaryota; Euglenozoa; Kinetoplastea; Trypanosomatida; Trypanosomatidae.
AGCGUGUCGCGAUGGAUGACUUGGCUUCCUAUUUCGUUGAAGAACGCAGUAAAGUGCGAUAAGUGGUAUCAAUUGCAGAAUCAUUCAAUUACCGAAUCUUUGAGCGCGCAUGGGGCACGGGAGAAGCUCUAAAGUGUCAUCCCCGUGCAUGCCAUAUUCUCAGUGUGGA